UCCUACGGGGCGCAGCAGUGGGGAAUAUUGCACAAUGGGGGAAACCCUGAUGCAGCAACGCCGCGUGAGUGAAGAAGUAUUUCGGUAUGUAAAGCUCUAUCAGCAGGGAAGAAGAAAGACGGUACCUGACUAAGAAGCCCCGGCUAACUACGUGCCAGCAGCCGCGGUAAUACGUAGGGGGCAAGCGUUAUCCGGAUUUACUGGGUGAAAAGGGAGCGUAGACGGCAUAGCAAGUCUGAAGUGAAAGCCCGUGGCUCAACCGCGGAACUGCUUUGGAAACUGUUAAGUGGGG
RNAcentral lists this ribosomal RNA (292 nucleotides) under uncultured bacterium. Its description in RNAcentral is "partial 16S ribosomal RNA". It matches the Rfam family "Bacterial small subunit ribosomal RNA", at positions 337 to 645 of the family's 1533-position model. The record is from RNAcentral.